GAUGAACGCUGGCGGCGUGCCUAAUACAUGCAAGUCGAGCGAACGGACGAGAAGCUUGCUUCUCUGAUGUUAGCGGCGGACGGGUGAGUAACACGUGGAUAACCUACCUAUAAGACUGGGAUAACUUCGGGAAACCGUAGCUAAUACCGGAUAAUAUUUUGAACCGCAUGGUUCAAAAGUGAAAGACGGUCUUGCUGUCACUUAUAGAUGGAUCCGCGCUGCAUUAGCUAGUUGGUAAGGUAACGGCUUACCAAGGCAACGAUGCAUAGCCGACCUGAGAGGGUGAUCGGCCACACUGGAACUGAGACACGGUCCAGACUCCUACGGGAGGCAGCAGUAGGGAAUCUUCCGCAAUGGGCGAAAGCCUGACGGAGCAACGCCGCGUGAGUGAUGAAGGUCUUCGGAUCGUAAAACUCUGUUAUUAGGGAAGAACAUAUGUGUAAGUAACUGUGCACAUCUUGACGGUACCUAAUCAGAAAGCCACGGCUAACUACGUGCCAGCAGCCGCGGUAAUACGUAGGUGGCAAGCGUUAUCCGGAAUUAUUGGGCGUAAAGCGCGCGUAGGCGGUUUUUUAAGUCUGAUGUGAAAGCCCACGGCUCAACCGUGGAGGGUCAUUGGAAACUGGAAAACUUGAGUGCAGAAGAGGAAAGUGGAAUUCCAUGUGUAGCGGUGAAAUGCGCAGAGAUAUGGAGGAACACCAGUGGCGAAGGCGACUUUCUGGUCUGUAACUGACGCUGAUGUGCGAAAGCGUGGGGAUCAAACAGGAUUAGAUACCCUGGUAGUCCACGCCGUAAACGAUGAGUGCUAAGUGUUAGGGGGUUUCCGCCCCUUAGUGCUGCAGCUAACGCAUUAAGCACUCCGCCUGGGGAGUACGACCGCAAGGUUGAAACUCAAAGGAAUUGACGGGGACCCGCACAAGCGGUGGAGCAUGUGGUUUAAUUCGAAGCAACGCGAAGAACCUUACCAAAUCUUGACAUCCUUUGACAACUCUAGAGAUAGAGCCUUCCCCUUCGGGGGACAAGGUGACAGGUGGUGCAUGGUUGUCGUCAGCUCGUGUCGUGAGAUGUUGGGUUAAGUCCCGCAACGAGCGCAACCCUUAAGCUUAGUUGCCAUCAUUAAGUUGGGCACUCUAAGUUGACUGCCGGUGACAAACCGGAGGAAGGUGGGGACGACGUCAAAUCAUCAUGCCCCUUAUGAUUUGGGCUACACACGUGCUACAAUGGACAAUACAAAGGGCAGCGAAACCGCGAGGUCAAGCAAAUCCCAUAAAGUUGUCCUCAGUUCGGAUUGUAGUCUGCAACUCGACUACAUGAAGCUGGAAUCGCUAGUAAUCGUAGAUCAGCAUGCUACGGUGAAUACGUUCCCGGGUCU
RNAcentral lists this ribosomal RNA (1372 nucleotides) under uncultured bacterium. Its description in RNAcentral is "bacterial SSU rRNA". It matches the Rfam family "Bacterial small subunit ribosomal RNA", at positions 28 to 1381 of the family's 1533-position model. The record is from RNAcentral.